RNAcentral lists this ribosomal RNA (460 nucleotides) under uncultured bacterium. Its description in RNAcentral is "partial 16S ribosomal RNA". It matches the Rfam family "Bacterial small subunit ribosomal RNA", at positions 338 to 795 of the family's 1533-position model. The record is from RNAcentral.
CCUACGGGAGACAGCAGUGAGGAAUAUUGGUCAAUGGGCGGGAGCCUGAACCAGCCAAGCCGCGUGGGGGAAGAAGGUACAGCGUAUCGUAAACCUCUUUUGUCAGGGAACAAAGGCGGGGACUUGUCCCCGGAUGAGUGUCCCUGAAGAAAAAGCAUCGGCUAACUCCGUGCCAGCAGCCGCGGUAAUGCGGAGGGUGCGAGCGUUACUCGGAAUCACUGGGCGUAAGGGGCGCGUAGGCGGGAUUGUAAGUCAGAUGUGAAAGCCUAUGGCUUAACCACAGGACUGCAUUUGAAACUGUUAGGCUGGAGUAGGGGAGAGGUAGGUGGAAUGCGUGGUGUAGCGGUGAAAUCCGUAGAUAUCAAGAGGAAUACUGAUUGCGAAGGCGACCUGCUGGAACAUGACUGACGCUGAGGCGCGAAAGCGUGGGGAGCAAACAGGAUUAGAUACCCUUGUAGUC